ACUCCUACGGGAGGCAGCAGUGGGAAGUAUUGGCACAAUGGGGAAACCCUGAUGCAGCCAUGCCGCGUGUGUGAAGAAGGCCUUCGGUUGUAAGCACUUUCAGUAGGGAGGAAGGUAGUGUAGUUAACACCUGCAUUAUUUGUACGUUACCUACAGAAGAAGCACCGGCUAACUCCGUGCCAGCAGCCGCGGUAAUACGGAGGGUGCGAGCGUUAAUCGGAAUUACUGGGCGUAAAGCGCAUGCAGGCGGCCUGUUAAGUCAGAUGUGAAAGCCCGGGGCUUAACCUCGGAAUUGCAUUUGAAACUGGCAGGCUAGAGUCUUGUAGAGGGGGUAGGAAUUUCAGGUGUAGCGGUGAAAUGCGUAGAGAUCUG
RNAcentral lists this ribosomal RNA (372 nucleotides) under uncultured bacterium. RNAcentral describes it as "bacterial SSU rRNA". It matches the Rfam family "Bacterial small subunit ribosomal RNA", at positions 335 to 700 of the family's 1533-position model. The record is from RNAcentral.